UACGAGUGCUUCGAGCGUUAUCCGGAAUCAUUGGGCGUAAAGGGUGUGCAGGCGGUCUUGUUAGUCUUCUGUUAAAUUUCUCGGCUUAACCGGGAACCUGCAGGGGAAACGGCAAGACUUGAGGAUGCGAGAGGUUAACGGAACUCAUAGUGUAGCGGUGAAAUGCGUUGAUAUUAUGGGGAACACCAAAUGCGAAGGCAGUUAACUGGAGCACUCCUGACGCUGAGACACGAAAGCGUGGGUAGCGAAUGGG
Molecule: ribosomal RNA, 253 nt
Filed under: uncultured bacterium
Lineage: Bacteria
Description: partial 16S ribosomal RNA
Rfam family: Bacterial small subunit ribosomal RNA
Source: RNAcentral